AAAACUGACACUGAUGCACGAAAGCGUGGGUAGCGAACGGGAUUAGAUACCCCGGUAGUCCACGCAGUAAACGAUGAUAACUCGUUGUAGGCGAUAUACCGUCUGUGACCAAGCGAAAGCGAUAAGUUAUCCACCUGGGGAGUACGACCGCAAGGUUGAAACUCAAAGGAAUUGACGGGGGCCCGCACAAGCGGAGGAACAUGUGGUUUAAUUCGAUGAUACGCGAGGAACCUUACCCGGGCUUGAAAGUUAGUGACCGGUUCAGAGAUGGACUUUUCCUUUUAGGACACGAAACUAGGUGCUGCAUGGUUGUCGUCAGCUCGUGCCGUGAGGUGUCGGGUUAAGUCCCAUAACGAGCGCAACCCCUAUCGAUAGUUACCAGCGAUUAGAGUCGGGGACUCUAUCGAGACUGCCAGUGUAAGCUGAGAGGAAGGUGGGGAUGACGUCAAAUCAGCACGGCCCUUACGUCCGGGGCGACACACGUGUUACAAUGGUCGGUACAGAGGGCAGCUACCCAGUGAUGGGAUGCGAAUCUCGAAAGCCGAUCUCAGUUCGGAUUGGAGGCUGGAACUCGCCUCCAUGAAGUUGGAUUCGCUAGUAAUCGCAUAUCAGCCAUGAUGCGGUGAAUACGUUCCCGGGCCUUGUACACACCGCCCGUCAAACCAUGGAAGUUGGGGGUGCCUGAAGUCCGUUACCGCGAGGGACGGCCUAGGGCAAACUCGGUAACUAGGGCU
This 734-nucleotide ribosomal RNA is filed under the name uncultured bacterium. Its description in RNAcentral is "bacterial SSU rRNA". It matches the Rfam family "Bacterial small subunit ribosomal RNA", at positions 736 to 1482 of the family's 1533-position model. The record is from RNAcentral.